This 2725-nucleotide small RNA is filed under the name Pseudocamarosporium brabeji. RNAcentral describes it as "eukaryotic LSU rRNA". The stretch from base 2119 to 2725 matches the Rfam family "Eukaryotic large subunit ribosomal RNA", at positions 1 to 609 of the family's 3401-position model. Lineage: Eukaryota; Fungi; Ascomycota; Dothideomycetes; Pleosporales; Didymosphaeriaceae. The record is from RNAcentral.
CGCACACUUGCGGAAGCCUUUGCAGCAUGGAGACAGUAGCCCAACGACUAUAAACAAUCCGGUGCCUCAUGCAAGUCAGCUCCGGCUGGCGACACUUUCGAAUUGCGGGGAACCCCUAAGAGCCCUUCACACCAAGCCAGCCUGGGAAACCAGCUGGUGGCCCAUUGGAAACCAUGGGGUACGGUAACAGUUGAAGGGAUGAACCAGCACUGCAAGGUGCCUGGGGAAAUGGGCAAUCCGCAGCGAAGCCCCUGGUGUUGAUGGUAGCAGUCUCCAAGCUCUGCUUGGUCCCGGAUCUGUUGAGGCUCGCCCUUGAACUUAUCCGCUGCGCAGCCAAACAUGGGGAACGUUCACAGACUAAGUGGAAGUGGGUGGAGCGCUGCAGCUCUGCUUAAGAUAUAGUCGGGCCCCCUUGGAAACUUUGGGGAUGAGUCCUUGAACACGAGCGGUAACAGGGAGGACGGAUUGGUUGGAAACUCGAAUUCGACAGCUAUCUAUGUACAUGUACAACAACAUUCUACUCAGCUAUGCGCCAGAACUCCAACACCAUCAUACAGCGCCUGUGCGAGUGAACUACCGCGCAAGCACCAUUGCGUGCUGCGACGUCUUGCUCGAACUGCGCGUCUGACCAACUAUGAUGUCCGGCUAAUCCAUCCUCCCAACCCUCGCGCUCACGCUCGAAGAACAUCGCACACAACGCUCGCGACUGAUUGACAACGUUGGUCUCCUGAACGAGGUACAGCGGGUUGAUGUUGCUACAACAACAACAAUGUUAACAGUGCGAUGCGAAACGACGGCUAUGAUACAACAGACUAAGCGGUUUCCCCCCCCAAUACCAGUACGUGAGAUACAUCGAGCCCUCUUUGCAGGUGUCCGUAGUGCUCGCGGAAUGUGAGGCGGUGGGCGAGAUACUUGUGGCCAGCGUACCGCACUGUAGUAGCCGUUAGCAACGAACAAGACGAACUGAGGGGGAAGCUUACCUUGCCCGUAACCAUCGUGAGAGGUCACAUACGGAUGGAAGACCGGUCCUGAAGGCCAUUGGCGCGGUGUUUGGCGUAAGCCUUGCAUCUCGGCAACGGUCAGAUGUCGGUUGCGGCGUCUGAAUUCGGCGCUAUCCAUGAUCUGCGUGACAGCGCCUCUGACUUGGUUUGCGGAGAGGUCUUCUACUGAGGGCAUCUGCGAGAAAUGUUAGCCAGAAUGAAAAGCGGCCCACUGUGUGAUUCGAACUCGGGCACACUUACGUUGAGGUAUUGUGGUUGUGUGAUGGGAUUGCUGAAGCUAGACCGCUGGGCCACGCAGGCUGUGCGGCGUUGUUGAUGCAAUUCUGGCGCCUACUGAAAUCUAUAUACCCUACGCUCGCUGCCUUUCCUCUACGUUAUCGUUCUUACCAGCUCUGCCGAGGGUGGUUGCAACCUGAACUGGAAGCAAGCACCUCUCGCCUCCUCUCUGCUGGGGGAGUUGCAACCUGAAAGGGAAGUAACCACUCCAGCUGAGGUAGCAGCGUACCUCCCCUCUCUAGUUUCGGUCUUGUGCGUGUGUGCGUGUGUUCUUUGAGGAUGGACUCCUCAGCAAACGUUCCGUAGGUGAACCUGCGGAAGGAUCAUUAUCUAUUUUAAUGGUGUUGGUCGCGGCCCCCGGCGGAAGUGUCCCCGGGCGGUAGAGGUAACACUCUCACGCGGCCACAUGCCUUCAUCCUUUUUUUACGAGCACCUUUCGUUCUCCUUCGGUGGGGCAACCUGCCGUUGGAACCUAUCAAAACCUUUUUUUGCAUUUAGCAUUACCUGUUCUGAUACAAACAAUCGUUACAACUUUCAACAAUGGAUCUCUUGGCUCUGGCAUCGAUGAAGAACGCAGCGAAAUGCGAUAAGUAGUGUGAAUUGCAGAAUUCAGUGAAUCAUCGAAUCUUUGAACGCACAUUGCGCCCCUUGGUAUUCCAUGGGGCAUGCCUGUUCGAGCGUCAUCUACACCCUCAAGCUCUGCUUGGUGUUGGGCGUCUGUCCCGCCUCUGCGCGCGGACUCGCCCCAAAUUCAUUGGCAGCGGUCCUUGCCUCCUCUCGCGCAGCACAUUGCGCUUCUCGAGGUGCGCGGGCCGCGUCCACGAAGCAACAUUACCGUCUUUGACCUCGGAUCAGGUAGGGAUACCCGCUGAACUUAAGCAUAUCAAUAAGCGGAGGAAAAGAAACCAACAGGGAUUGCCCUAGUAACGGCGAGUGAAGCGGCAACAGCUCAAAUUUGAAAUCUGGCUCUCUUUGGGGGUCCGAGUUGUAAUUUGCAGAGGAUGCUUUGGCAUUGGCGGCGGUCUAAGUUCCUUGGAACAGGACAUCGCAGAGGGUGAGAAUCCCGUACGUGGGCGCCUGCCUUUGCCGUGUAAAGCUCCUUCGACGAGUCGAGUUGUUUGGGAAUGCAGCUCUAAAUGGGAGGUAAAUUUCUUCUAAAGCUAAAUACCGGCCAGAGACCGAUAGCGCACAAGUAGAGUGAUCGAAAGAUGAAAAGUACUUUGGAAAGAGAGUCAAAAAGCACGUGAAAUUGUUGAAAGGGAAGCGCUUGCAGCCAGACUUGCCCGCAGUUGCUCACCUAGGCUUUGGCCUGGGGCACUCUUCUGCGGGCAGGCCAGCAUCAGUUUGGGCGGUUGGAUAAAGGCCUCUGUCACGUAUCUUCCUUCGGGAUGACCUUAUAGGGGAGGCGUAAUGCAACCAGCCCGGACUGAGGUCCGCGCAUCUGCUAG